UGCGACGCCAAUGCAUUUGUCAGAACGGAUGUUCAACCGAUGAUGGUAACACAUAUGAGUUUGUAGAUGCAAUUACUUGGUGACACACAGAAUUUUUAAUCAAUUUAUUGUAUAAUACUUAUAUAUAUUACAGGCAAUAUAACGUAAUAUACAUUCAUGAUUCACCAUCCCAUCGUAUUGCUCUGCAUACAAGUGUUCCAACAAUAGCGAUCAAGGCUAUGCAUUAGUCAGAUACCCGCGUGAUGAAAUUUUAAAAAAGAAAAUGGAUUGCUGCAGUAGGAAGGGGCAAAAACUGGUCACCUAGCAGUUCUCAAAAACUUUGCGAAGUACAUUUUAAGCCUUCUGAAAUUGAAUUUGUUGCUGGACGCAAAUGAGUAAAAUUUGAUUCAGUUCCAUCUCGUUUUUGUACGUGUUCCUCAGAGGAUCGAAAGAACUGUCAUGGAAAGUUAAAAAAAAACAGUUUCAUCACACGAGUAUCUGAUGCAUAGCCUUGAUCGUUAUUGUUGAAACACUUGUAUGCAGAGCAAUACGAUGGCAUGGUGAAUCAUGAAUGUAUAUUACGUUAUAUUGCCUGUAAUAUAUAUAAGUACAAUAAAUUGAU
Molecule: long non-coding RNA, 601 nt
Organism: Mycetomoellerius zeteki
Lineage: Eukaryota; Metazoa; Arthropoda; Insecta; Hymenoptera; Formicidae
Exons: 3
Source: RefSeq, a predicted model, not a curated record